Saccostrea cuccullata (small rock oyster) is the source of this 1280-nucleotide long non-coding RNA. RefSeq lists it as uncharacterized. The transcript is spliced from 5 exons. The record is from RefSeq and is a predicted model, not a curated record. NCBI's taxonomy places the organism in Eukaryota, Metazoa, Mollusca, Bivalvia, Ostreida, Ostreidae.
UUACAGAAGUCCAAUAUUACAUUGGCUGAUGUUAAAGUAACUAUUUCAUCAACGAUGGAAAUACUUAAACAGUUCAGCACAAGUUCAUGUAUAUUGAUGCAUGAUAUUGAAACCAGAAAAGAAAUAUCAGGAUAUCCUUUGAAAAGACAAGGUCCACCAACUGACAUGGAGAAGAAAGUCAGUGUCAUUAAGUCUUCUUUAAUCAAACAUAUGGAGGCAAGAUACAGGGACCUAGGAGAUGAUGUUAUAGAAUCAACUAUUAUUGCAAAUGUAAAAAGCUGGCCACGAGAAAAUGUUGCUGUUAUUUUCUUCCUGCAGAAAAAUUGAUUUUGGUGCUAAAGAAGUCCAGUGUAUUGCAGAGCAUUGGAAAAUCAAGGCACAGAUCUUACAGAUUUGUUGGGAGAAUGGCAGAUGUUAAAAUUUCUUUCUUACAAAAGAUUUGGUGAGAAGAUUGGCAGUACAUCUUUGGAAGAUAUCCAUUCAAAUUUUUCAGAUAAUGAAAUACCAAACAUUUUGAAUGUGUUGGACCUAAUUCAAAGUCUUCCUGCAACAAGUGUUGUAAAUGAAACGGCUUUUAAUCAAAUGAAGCUACUAAAAACAUCAAGACGUCACAGACUGAGUGAGAAACAUCUCAAUGAUUGCAUGAUGAUUAGGCUGCAAUCACCUUCAGUAAUGGAGUUUAAUCCAAAAGAAGCCGUUGAUAAGUGGAUGAUAAUUAUAUACUGUAAAUGAAUAAAACCAAUUAUCAAAUAAAGUAAUGUACAUGUUACAUCUUGAUCAUGAAAAAUUAAAUGAUAUUUUUUGUUAAAUCAAUAGUUAACACCUAAAGGGAAGAGAAGGAAGAUGAAUUACCAGAGAAGGAAGAAAAUUUUGGUUUCAAACCAGACUGUGCAAGUUAAUGAUGAAGAGAUUGUGGAAGAGACUGUUGAAGAGGCUGAUGUGGUUGAAGAGGAGGUAACUCAGGAAACAGAGAAUGGCAUUGCAAAUCAGGGAGAUGUAGCUGAAUCUGAUUAUGACUCAGAGACAGAAGAUGAAAUGGAGGAUGAACGUGAUAGUGAAAAUGAACAGUCAGAUAGCGAAAAUGAAAAUCUUAUAAGAAGUUUUAUUUACGAAUAUGAAAUAGAAAAUUGUUAAUAAAAUACAUUUUCUGUACUUAUUUAUUCCUAUUUUUCUCUUCCAAAAAUGGUAAAUGUAUCUGGUCUGACAAAAGUUUGUCCGGUCUCACAGAACCUUUAACUGUGUCAGACCAAAUGUCUGGUAGUAGUUGAAAAAUUUCGACA